Molecule: small nucleolar RNA, 134 nt
Rfam family: A. fumigatus snoRNA Afu_198
Source: Rfam
CCAAUCACGCUACAUGAUGACACGUACAUCGACCAUUACAUACUUUAGGAAGAGCCGGAAAAGGUAUGGCUAGCAUCGACAUAUGUUACGCCGUCGCUGCUUAUAAACUUGGUCUCUGAGAAGCGGAAAUUUCA